RNAcentral lists this long non-coding RNA (6754 nucleotides) under Homo sapiens (human). RNAcentral describes it as "non-protein coding lnc-TMEM129-4:1". The record is from RNAcentral. Lineage: Eukaryota; Metazoa; Chordata; Mammalia; Primates; Hominidae.
ACACUUGCCCGGGCCAGGGCGGCAUGACUGGGGCCCUUUAUCCCGGCCCCGGGGCCGGGGCGGCUCAAGGCUCCAUUCACGGCCACCGCAGGCUCCCGCCCGGCCACGUUCCUCAUGCAGGCGUUUGGAAGCCCCGCGGCACCCGGUGGGUGAAGACAAGCUGUGUCGUUUGUGCCUUGGCGGCGGCCGCUCUCCAACCCCCAUGGCCCGGCCCCUCCCCAGCCCGGCCGCCCGUCCACAGCUCCAGACCCGGGGUCAACCACUUGUGCCAAGGAGCCUGAGAUCCCAGCCCAUGCCCAGCCAGUCAGAGCUGCCUGUCCCACCUCAGGACUGGUGACAGAUCCUCACUGGCUGUCCCCUCCCACCUGCCAGAAGCAGUGCCUGAAGUCCAGAGGACUCCAGGUGCCAGGCUCCCCCUGGGGAGGAGCACGGGGCUGGGCAGUCAGCCGGGGAGGAGCAAGCUGGUGGCUGGGACACACAACUCCCCAUGGUGUCGGGCUGGGGGCAGCAUGCCUGACCUGGCAAUGGCCCCGGUGACGGCUGGGGGUGGCCACGGCUGGGCUCAGGCCAGUCUUAUCUGUGGAGGCUCAGAGACCAGUGGCCACUUCCUGGGUCUCUGGCGGUGGCGGCUCCCACUAUGACUUCCCCAAGCCAGUCUGGUGCCAACACCCUGGGCUGAGAGUCCCCAGCCCCAUUGCAUGCUCCACAGCACAGGCCCCAAAGGCCACUGUCCAAGGCCACCCCCGGGUGCCCCUCGCCCCACACCUGGCCCCCUCGCGGGCUGGAGACUCGCUGCUUCUGACUCGGGUCCCGGGACAGGGCACCCACCUGGGUCCCAGUGCCCAGGGGCUGCCGCCCACAUGCUGAGCCCCUGACCCUGGAGUUUCAGGUCCCAGAUGGAAAGUGGGGAGGGUGCCUGUCUCCGGCUUCUGGAGAUCCCUGGGAGGGCACCCUCCUCCACGUGGGCCCGGGAACAGGAAGUGCUUGACGGGGCUCCCAGGUGGGGCCAGCACUGCUCUGUGGGUUUUUCCAGGGAGGGGCUCCUGGGAUCUGAAGUCCUCUAAGACCCCCCACCCCCAGCCCCCAGCAGGCAGGGACCCUGCCACGCUUCCCUCUGAGGUCUCCACAGGAGUGGGUGCGGGUCCUGUGGCUUUGCUGGAGGUAGGGCUGGGGCCUCCUGCAGCCCCAGGUCACUGGUCUAUGAUUGUCACCAUCGGGUGGUGGCUGGCCUGGAGAGUGUCUCCUCUCGCGGGUGGAGUCAGGGGCCUGGGUUUCAGGUUGGGGGCUUGGGGACUUCAGUGAGAAGACAGGCCAGGACCUGGCCAUGGACAAGGGGACAGCAGGAGAGAAGGGGGUGCUGCCCCCAGCUGGGACCCCAGAGCCCCCCACCUGGUUCCCAUCUCCUCUGCCUCCUCCCCUUUGCCAAGAGGCCUCACCACCAGCACCCCAAGUCCCCACAGGCUGGUGCCCCGCGAGGCCCCGGGCACUUCCUCCAGGAAGCCUUCUCCCACCCCUGCAGCUCAGCCACACCCAGCGGCCCCCAGCCAGAGGAGGGGCACCUGGGACCAGACAAGCCUGGGCUCGGGGCAGAGGUGCCUUCCUGCUUUCUGGGCGUGUGGGGAGGGGGUUCCCAGAAAUGCCGAGGAGGCCUGGCCGGCAGCCCGAGGGGAGAGCCCCUGGCGCUUCCUGCUUGGUGAGGAGGCAGGCCUCUGCCGCCUGAGCUCGGAGAAGUGGGAGAAGCGAGUCAACGACAACAACCAUCAUCGCCCGCCCUCCUCUUCCCAGGCCUAUGUGGAGGAGGGCGCCCUCCCCGGGAUCUCCAGAGGCCUGACCCCUGGCUGGUGGGCGGGGCAGGCGUCCUGUGCUGCCCCUGAGCCUGUGCCUGCACCGUGCCCAUCCGGCUGCCCGGCAGGACCCUGCCCGCUGUCCUGGGCUCCCGAAUCAGAGCCCCUCUGGGCUGAGGGGAGGUCACCGUUCCCCAGCUGAGUGGAUUACCUGGGGCGGGGCAGAAAGGCCCGUCGCCUGUGGGUUGGGGUCUGCCUUGCCCUACCCUGCCUGAGAGGGUGAAAUGAGCUCAUGUUCCUGGCAGAGGAGCCAGCACCUGGCGCAGAGGGAAAUGAGCUGUGCCGUGGGCACGUUGGGGCGGGGGAGAUCCAGCCUGAAUCCGCCCAGCUUGGGCUGCCCUCCGGCCAGGUGUGGCCUCCCAGGGGAACACUGUGGACCCUCUCGACAGCUGAGAGGUGGGGCAGGUCGGGCACUGACCAGGAUUCCCAGCCUCCUCUAGGAGAGGGCCCAGCCUGGCCAUGCUCCCUCCCACGCUGGGGCCCAGCUCAGGAGCCCCCACCUCCAGGAAGUCCCUCAAUGCUGAGGGCCCGCCUCCAUCCCCACCCAUGCUGGGUUGUCCAGAGUGCUGACCACACAGAGGCGAGUGAGCAGCAUGGCCUUGUCCCGGGGCCUGCACCUCAUCACCAGCAUUGGGGGUGACAAAGGCCCCUGAGCUCUGCGGGUGUGGACCUCAGGGAGGCCAAGCUCCUCCAGGCCACAGGUUCGGGCUGGGGAGGGGACACUCUCCUGGGAGCAGCUCCCUGCUUGGCAGGCGCACCUUAACCUGGAGAGCUGGGUGCACAGGCAGGAGCCUCCGGGCCUGGAUAGCCAGUGAGCCUGGCAGGGUGGUGGGGACACAGAUGGACGUCCCCAGCAGGGAUGGUGCGGGUGGAGGGAGGAGCGCCCGGCAGGUCCCUGCUGUCUGGGUCUGCUCUGGUGGUGGCUGCGGGUGAGCGCCUGUGGACUGGUGGCGUGGCACUGGGCUGCUCGGCCGUGUGUUUCUGAUUCCUCGAGGCCUCCCCAGCGCGGUGUGUGUGCAAGGUACCCCCACCCUGGGCCCACUCAGUGUCCCGGGCUGCCUGGCCUGGUGCAGGACCACCCACCAGGCGGCCCCUGUCCAUCUGGGGUGGGGGUUGUGGGUGAACCCUGGGGGUAAAGAGGCCACCUCCCUGGCCCAGAAGAGCCCCAGGGUUGCUGGGCCCGGGACAGAGAGGGCAUGGGGCCGCCUGCGGUCCUAGAGGGGGCACAGAGCCAGGCCCAGCCCGACCACUGGCCUCGAAGCGUGGAUGCAGCUCCCAUCUGCUCCCCGCGAGCUGGGCCAGUCCCGACGCAGCCCCACACCUGUGGGAGGGUAGGACCCUGCAGGCCAGCCCCGCCCGCCAAGCGCUUCUGCUCCUCUGGCCUUGAGCUUGUCAGGGGCCCCUGCGGACAGCAUGACAGAGCUGGGUGAGCCCCCAUCGUGGGGUGGGGGCAGGGGACCCUGAUGGGAGCAGCAGGACCCCUCUGAGGGGCAUCUGGAACCCACCCAAGAUGCUUACUCCCUCUCCUCCUCACCCUCCAGCCCCCCACGGCCUUGUCACCAACCGGCAUGUUCCAUGGGAGUGGGUGUGUGUGUGCCUGCACCUGUGUGUUUACUGGUUCCUUCACGCUGCUGCUCCCCACCCCGCCCCGGCCAGAAGAUUCUCACCACAGGCCUGUUGUGACUGUCCUGUCCUUGCCAUGCCCAGAGCCUGGAACAGUGCAGGGAACAGAGAUGGUGCUCAGUACACAUUUGACAUGUGAAUGAAUGAGUGUGUGUGGAGAAGCCUUCGAAUCUCAGGGUUCUACCUCUACCUUGACCGAUGGAGACACUGGGCUUCACUGUGGGCACAGGGGGGUCGGGGUGAGGGUCUACCCAGGGCCAACUGUAUGGCACCUGCCCCACCCCAGCCAGGACUGCCUGGCACCAAGCGGGGCUCCUGCUGUCAGGAUGCUCUAGGUGGGGUGUGGCCUCAGCCACCGGGCAUGCAGGGGGCAAGGGUGGGUCACCACACGCCCUGGGCAGAAGCCCUGGGCCUUCACACUCCACUCUGCCGCUGGGCCCCUGUGGGACGCUGGCAGCUUGGCCUCCCCAGCACUGCCCUGGACCCACCCCACUAGGCUGGGAAGGAACUCCCUCUGGGAACCCCUUGGGCUCAGAGCAGCCCCGGCUCUGCCCAUACAGGUGCGCCCCUGCAGACGCCCCCUUGGGAUGGUGUCCACACCGUGGCUCUGCCGGAACAGCCUCCCACAUCCCCAGUCUCUAAGUGUGGACGGACAUGGGGCCUUUGGACACCAAGUGGCCGGGCCACCACUUAUCAGCAGAGGCAGCCCCCAGCCCACACAGGAACCCUUUCUUUGAGGGUCCAGAGGCCCGGGGCCUGAGUGUCUCACUCACAAACAGCCCUCCUCUGCCCACUGUCCCUCAGAAGCAAACAUAAGUGCAUCCCCCCGCCCCCUCCUCUCUCUGCAGAGUGGGCCCCAGAGCUCCUGUGAGCUCAGCCAGGUGGGGCCGUCCGUGUCAGUGGGGUUUGGGGAGACGGGUGCGAAUGGACAUCGAGGGACAGAGGAGACACAGGGCAGGGGCCCCGCCCACCCUGAUGUCUGCAGGGGCUCUAAGCCCUCACCUCACCCCUGCUGGCCUGGAGGGAGGGGCCUGAGUGGAAGGGAGGCGGGGACUGGGGGCGGGGACCGUGGGGUGGGGGUUCCUGGAGCCUGCACAGUUGUUCCUUCAUUCAUUUGACACACUUGCAAACUGUGCAGCCUCAGCCUGGUGUUUGGAACCGGGCUGGGGCAGACGCGUUCGAGGGGCUGUUUCUUGGAGUCUGGUCCAUGCCUGCAGAAUUGCAGAGUUGGAGGACCCAGUGAGUACCACUGGUGGUUCAGGCUGUAGAGCGCCAUAUCCCCAGCCACCCAGUUACAGGGUGUGUUCCCAGAACCCAGCUGGGCAGGGUUGGGUAGGGAGGGAGGGAUUGGGCCUUGCCAGGGCCCCCCUGUCCUGCAGUCCCCCUAUCAGGCUAGGCCAGACCCUCAGCUAGCGAGGGUGCCUGGUGUGCUGCCUCCAGCCCUGCAUGGCCUGAAACCUCCCAGUCCCCAGCCCUGCCCUCCACAAACCUCCAGGGGUCUGCCUCCCUGGCGGUCCAUGCGGCUUCUUGGCACCCGUGCCCCGCCCCUUCAGGGUGUCACCCACCUGGUCCGGUCCCUGCAUGGCCCAUGGCGGCAAGCGACCCCUGGCGGCGGCUGGGGGUGUUGUUGCGCCCACCCGAGGUCAGUACUGCAGUGCUGCUCACCAGGCCAAGGGGCAGACUCGCAGAGCCUUGGAAGCAGGUCCUGGGACUGCAACCCCCAGGCUCAGACACUACUGGGGCCAGGUGACUGCGGCCAGAUCUCGGCCUGGGUCCCUCCCUAUGUGGGGAGCCCCACUCUUCACUGAUGGGAGAAAACGGCUUUUCUGGACGGCGUGAUCUGGGCACAGCAGCAGCACCGACCCCUGGAAACAGGUUACAGCGUCAACCCUUGGUCUUGCCUGGCCCCUCAGGAGGCCCUGGCCCUCUGGCUGGUGCUGGGGUCCUAGGUGCCAUGGCUGAACCCAGUGACCAGCAUCUCUCAGCUCGGUACCCAGGUUCCCGGGAUGCCCCAGCUGGGCCAAGCCUCUGCCUGACCAGAAGGGCUCCUGGAACUGCCUUGGGUUCCAGUGUGCCUGUCUGAGUUUGAGAUCCGCAGGACGGGACUGCUGGAGAUGGGGUUAGGGUCGGGGAGGAAGCCCUGCCGUGUGGAGACAGAACUUCCUCAGGGAAGCCUGUUUUGCUCUGAAGUCUCCACGCCCCCAAGGACGAGGACGACAGGAGCUGAGCAGCUGCACCUGCAGGGGGCCUCCCUCCACACCCACACCCAGGAAGGGGCAGGCAUUAGCUGUGGGUACCACGCCGUCUGCUGGAGAGCACCCAGGCUUGGUGUCUGGGGACCUGCAGAUCCUCGAGGCUGUCUGGGGCAUCAGCCGUGAGCCAGUAGCUCCCGUUUUCCUUUUGGAAAAAGCCCCUUCACACAAGUUCCCAGCUCACCCCCUCUGGAGGUUCAGGACAGCCCUGGCUCUCCACCCUGAGAUGCCGGGCCUGAACCUGGUGCCCUCACGGCUGGGCCCCCUCCUGCCACACCUGCAGCCUCUGCUGGCACCAAGUGCUGCUGGAAAGUGGGAUGCACCUGGGACCACUGACAGCCCAGCCCGUCUCCCUCUGGAGCUGAGCCCUGUGCUUUGGGGACAGGCAGGGGAGGCCAGCAGGAGCCACAUGGUUACCCAGACACGCCUGCUCCUCACAGGCUGCUGCCCCCUCUGGGGGCACCUUCCGCUCAGUGACUGAGAAGCCCUAACUGAGGGGUUCCUGGGUCCCCGAGUGGCCUCUGCUUGGGAAGGCUCAGCCUACCUGCCUUCUUCCUGCAGUGCCCCCAGCGGCCUCACAGCCCAGCCAUCCUCACUCCUCUGUCGCAGCCCUGUAUCCCAGAAGCACCCUCAGCACUGCAGCCUCUCCCUGAGCCCCUACCCAGCAUGCAGCCCCUGAUGUCCUGCGGAGGUCACGCCUCCCUUAAACCCACAGCACUGUGUUUCUCUGCUGUGGAAAAUUCCCAACAGCGUCUGUCCGGGAGGCGGCAUCCGGAAGCUCUCACGUGUGCACAGGUCAAGCCUCCCGCCACAGCGGCGUCUCUCCCUCUGGCUCUGGGGGCUGCCGUCCACACACUGGUUCCCAACUCAGCCUCUGCUUCCCUCAUCUGACCUGUACCCUUUGAAUUGUUAAUGUUGUUAACUGUGUACCUGUUAGAAAUUUCCAUUUGGUUCUUUUCUAGUUUCUGUUUUUUUUUUUUAGACGGAGACUCACUCUGUCACUCAGGCUGGAGUGAAGUGGCAUGAUCUCGGCUC